Molecule: long non-coding RNA, 2231 nt
Organism: Papaver somniferum (opium poppy)
Lineage: Eukaryota; Viridiplantae; Streptophyta; Magnoliopsida; Ranunculales; Papaveraceae
Exons: 2
Source: RefSeq, a predicted model, not a curated record
CAACCCACGUUUCUCACCUGAGAGAAAGUAACUCCCCAGUUCUCCCAGACUUCUUCUUCCAGACUUCUUCUUCUUUUUUCGACUAUGUACCCUCUUCUUUCUUCGACUAUGUAUCUACAUCUCUUCUUUCUUCCACUAUGUAUGUACAUAUCAAAAUUAAACAAACCCGAUUGUUAGAUUUCUCUAUUCAGUGAAGGAAGUCCUGCAAGUAAGUUAGGGUUUGUGUAAAAUCAAUUCUCCUUUUGUGAUUUUUUAAUUGUAGGGUUGCAAGAUAAUUUUAGUCGGUUUUGUAUCAUUCACCUAAUUUUACUUCAUUCUUUUUUCUGUAUCGUUCGGUUUAAACAAUUUUUUAAUGUUGAACAGAUGAAAUCAAGAAAUCGACCAAUUUCUUCUUUUGGUACUUCAUUGAUUCAGUUUACAUGUCGGGUGAUACUUCUGUGAAAGAAAUUUUUGUAGCCGUUCCUUUGAUUUCCUGGUAUAAUUAUCCAUCAUAUUGAGUUUAUAAUACACCCAAACUUUGAAUUUCGUUUUAAAAUAGUAAUCAAGGUUCAGACUUAAAAUAACUAUUAGGGCUUCAUGAUUAUUUGGCACCAUGUACUACAGAUUGGCUUCGGUAUUUUAAGAUAACAGUUAACUUCAAUUUAGAGAGACGGGUAAAGAUUGGUUCUAGGCUGUUCCUUGUAUAGUGAGAAUUAUUAACUUGUAUCUGUACUUCUAGUUUAGUCUUUCAUGGUAACUGAAGUUAAUUUGAAAAUAAGGAAUCAAUUGACUUUUUCCUUCUCAACAGAUGUUCACUGAUUUUUGGUUAGAUUGUACUUUCCCAAAACUGGUAAGAUAUAUGGUUGCUUCUUUGUUUGAUUUCCAGGUACGUAUAUCAUACAAUUAGAAUAGUUUCAAACUGAAAAUUUUGAAUUUGGUUUUUAAAAUUGUAAUUGGUAAUCUUUCUUUGGAAUUUGAUAAAUUCAAUGGUGGUGUUGCUCUUUAUAAAUUUGAGUUGAUAGAUUUUUAGCUUGGGUUGUAUUUCCACAAAACUGGUAAGAAUUUUUUAUACUCAUUCCUUCAAUUUCCUGGCACGAUUAUCAUAAAUGUUUAGUUUAUAUCAAACCCAGACUCUGAAUUUGGUUAUAAGAUUACAAUUGCUGAUGUUAUUUAUCAUCAUAUAAAUUCAAUGGUGAUGCUAAAUUUCUUAUAUUAUUAUUAUUAUUAUACAUUAUCUUUGUAAUAGAGUAUCAUUAAGGUUUAUCAAACAGAUUAGAGUUUGUUUUAAUUUGUGAAUUACGUGAAGUAUCUUUUUCUUUUAAAACUGGUUUGAACCUAUGAAUUAAAAUCUGUUGUCUUCAGUGGUAGGUGUAUUUGAAAAUGCUAGCCCAUACAAAGGCUAAACCUGGUGGUGGUGGUGCAGAGGACUCAUCUUCAGUUCUCUAGGUUGCUACGGACGACGAAUCUGCAAAGUCAUCAUAUGUUGCUCAUAUCAACAGUUAUCUGAGUGGAUCUAUUUCUAAAGAAAUUCCUUUACAUUCUUUGACUAAUGAUCUCUUCGAAGUUGGGAAUGAGGAAGUUCUUAUAUGGUAACUACACUAUUCCAUCUUGUUUCUGGAUGCUACCUUUUUAAUGUAAUAUGCAAUUUUUUGCGCUGGCACACCCUUUUUGGUUGAGUCGACAGUUUUUUCACAUUGUUCUAUCUAGUGCCUUUUCCUGCCGUGUAACUGAACUUGCAUUCUGAUUAUUCCAUGAAACUGAAAGCUCAUUAGAGUAGCCAUUACCAUCAUUGAAACAGGUGGUAGCUAUAAAAAGAGUGGUGCUGACAUUCUGAGUUCUCGAUUUUUUUUUAUUUACAACACAGGUAAGUCUUCCUUAAGAGUUGCAUGAUUGAAUUUGAUGAAACUGUAUAUAUGUUUUACAGGAAAACUUUUGUUUUAAUCUGUUACAAGGUGGUGGAUUAGUCGUUUUCGAUUUAACUUGGCAUGUUGAUCACUGGGUUCACUAAAUGAUAUGCUUGAAGGCUGUGGUGGAGAUACAAUUGUUGACUCACAUUGGAACUGAGGGAAUGUCACAUCAUCCUCUGUUUAUAAUUUUUAAUUUUGAUUCUAAUUUUUAGUGUUCAGUUAAAUUGUAGAAUUGAAUUUAUAUUUUGUUUAGCUCUUCUUUGCGAUGUUUGAAUGUAAUUAAUUACGAACCUUGUAAUAUUUGUUCGAAUGAAUGGAAAAUGUUGCUGGAAUAGCUUGUGUAAA